AUACGAAGGGGGCUAGCGUUGCUCGGAAUCACUGGGCGUAAAGCGCACGUAGGCGGCUUCUCAAGUCAGGGGUGAAAUCCUGGAGCUCAACUCCAGAACUGCCUUUGAUACUGAGGAGCUCGAGUCCGGGAGAGGUGAGUGGAACUGCGAGUGUAGAGGUGAAAUUCGUAGAUACUCGCAAGAACACCAGUGGCGAAGGCGGCUCACUGGCCCGGUACUGGCGCUGAGGUGCGAAAGCGUGGGGAGCAAACA
RNAcentral lists this ribosomal RNA (252 nucleotides) under uncultured prokaryote. RNAcentral's name for it is "partial 16S ribosomal RNA". It matches the Rfam family "Bacterial small subunit ribosomal RNA", at positions 523 to 774 of the family's 1533-position model. The record is from RNAcentral.